Molecule: ribosomal RNA, 525 nt
Filed under: uncultured bacterium
Lineage: Bacteria
Description: bacterial SSU rRNA
Rfam family: Bacterial small subunit ribosomal RNA
Source: RNAcentral
AGGGUUCGAUCAUGGCUCAGGAUGAACGCUAGCGGCACGCUUCAUACAUGCAAGUCGAGGGGCAGCAUAAAGUACUUGUACUUUGAUGGCGACCGGCGAACGGGUGCGUAACGCGUAUGCAACUUACCUUUUACUAGAGAAUAGCCAAGAGAAAUUUUGAUUAAUGCUCUAUACUCUUUUUAACUCACAUGAGUUUUUAAGAAAAGCUCCGGCGGUAAAAGAUGGGCAUGCGUCCUAUUAGCUUGUAGGUGAGGUAACGGCUCACCUAAGCUCCGAUAGGUAGGGGUCCUGAGAGGGAGAUCCCCCACACUGGUACUGAGACACGGACCAGACUUCUACGGAAGGCAGCAGUAAGGAAUAUUGGACAAUGGAGGAAACUCUGAUCCAGCGAUGCCGCGUGAAGGAAGACGGCCCUAUGGGUUGUAAACUUCUUUUAUACAGGAAGAAACCUUUCCACGUGUGGAAAGCUGACGGUACUGUAAGAAUAAGGAUCGGCUAACUCCGUGCCAGCCGCCGCGGUAAUAC